UACGGGGGGGGCAAGCGUUGUUCGGAAUUACUGGGCGUAAAGGGUUCGUAGGUGGCCAACUAAGUCAGACGUGAAAUCCCUCAGCUUAACUGGGGAACUGCGUCUGAUACUGGUUGGCUUGAGUGCAGGAGAGGAACGCGGAAUUCCAGGUGUAGCGGUGAAAUGCGUAGAUAUCUGGAGGAACACCGGUGGCGAAGGCGCCCACCUGGCCUGUUACUGACGCUGAAGCGCGAAAGCUAGGGGAGCAAACGGG
RNAcentral lists this ribosomal RNA (253 nucleotides) under uncultured bacterium. Its description in RNAcentral is "partial 16S ribosomal RNA". It matches the Rfam family "Bacterial small subunit ribosomal RNA", at positions 524 to 776 of the family's 1533-position model. The record is from RNAcentral.